Alligator mississippiensis (American alligator) is the source of this 3083-nucleotide long non-coding RNA. RefSeq lists it as uncharacterized. NCBI's taxonomy places the organism in Eukaryota, Metazoa, Chordata, Crocodylia, Alligatoridae. The transcript is spliced from 2 exons. The record is from RefSeq and is a predicted model, not a curated record.
CCGCGCGGGGAGCCGCUCAAAGCCCCUCGGUGCACAUGUGAAAUUUCCAGAUCCAGGCGGCGGCCAGAAGACAGCAAGAAUCCGAGGGAUUGGAGGCAGAAGGAAGACAAACCCGGGAAGGAUGCUUUGCAUACAAGUUACAUAGCGAUCAGUGCAUUUUUUUUCCUUCAGUUUCGGAAGUAAAGUGUUGUUUUAAAAGAGAUGAUGCAUUAUCUAUUCUUGGAUUUUUUAUAAGGCAAACUGUGGGCCUCGCUGUUGCCAUGGGAUCUUCUUUGUGCCAACUCUCCGAACUGUGUGGGAACAGUUUUAUUUCCUUCCCUUCAGGUUUCUUUCUUUUUUUUCUCCUCCCCCCCUUUUUUUCCCCCUCUUCUUUUUAUCCCCCCUAUUUUGAAGAUCUGUAACAAAAUGUAACUGCAUUAUUGCCAAUUAAGACUAACAGCAGCUGCAAGGUGCAGCUAAUUAGAAAUGUUAAUUACUUCACAAAAUAAAUAGUCAUUUGCAGAUGCUUAUAGUGUUAAACAAAUUCUCUGUAAAAUCGAACUGGGUAAAAUUCUGACCCCCCCUCGAUGCACACAUGCAGAGCACAUGCCAAUUCAUUCACCCAUUAGAGAGAUACAUAAAGACAGAGUUAAAAACAAAGUGAUGCCUGGUAUUUAGUAGGUGGGUGAGGGAGUGUGUGGAGGAGGAGUAAAAAAAAGGCAGAGGAAUUCCAUUACUUUCUUAAAGAAAUUGAGGCUGAGCACACACAGACACACAUAAUAUGCAUGUCUCAACAUAACCUCAUGUUGCUUAUACAUCCAAGCAUGCUUAUGCAUUAUUUAAUGAAUGUUAUAGAGAUAUAGAUAUAAAGCUUUAUAUCUGUGUAAGCAAAGCUCCUUAAAUAAUAUAUAAGCCUACAUGGAUGCAUAAGCAACACAAGAUUAUGAUGGGAUGUGGAUAUUCCAGGUUCUUUGUGGUAAAGUGUGUAGAAGAGCAUUGGAAAUGAUUAAUUCCCUCGCCAUCAAUUUUCCUGAGCAGAUGAGCAUGCACAGAAGUAUUGGAGUUUAUUAAGUAUUAUGAUAAAAGGUUAAUGACGGGCAGUAUGGGAAUUGUAGGCUGCAAGAAUCAUGGGAGUUGUGGUAAAGUUAGCUUGAGCUUAAUCUUCUGGUGCAGAAUGUCACACGUUCUAAUGAAUUUGAAAAAAAAAAGGCAAUCUUGAAGUGACUGGAAUGCAACAACUAGUAGUUAAAAGUCAUUCUGAGGGGCUGGAAAUCAAUAAUCCUAGUUAACUAGGUGAUUAGAUACUACUGUGAUGGCUGAUCAUUUUUAUAGAUAGGUAAGAUGGACAUGAAAGAAAAGUCAUUACCAAAGAGAAUCAAGCUGAAAAGCAACAUUUAGCAGACAUCUUAAGUCUGAUCAAUGAGUCACAAUGUACAACUGGAAUGCUGAAAGCUCUAGAAUCCCUUGUAGCAAAGCGGAGGAAGUAUUGGAAAGAAAAUCAGUCCCCUGGUUAAAGCUUUGGACAAGUACUCAAGACAUCUUGGUUCAGCUCCUGGAUCUGAUACAGAUUUCUUGUGACAAUGCAAAUCACUGAAUCACUCUGUUUUCAUCCCUCUUCUGUAUAAUGCGGGAUAACAUUUUUUUCUAACUCAUGUGGGAGCAAUUGAGGAUAAAAAUUCAUUAAUGUCUGUGAGGCGUUCAGAUACCAUAGUGACGGGAGAUGCAUAACAGCCUAGACAGAUAUCAGUUGGCUGAAAGACUGUCUAGAGGAAGGAAAAAGAAGAAAAUGUUGUGGAAUGCAGAGUGUAGAGCAAAACAUAUAGUAUCUGAUAUAUUUAUUAUAGUGGCUACAGUUAGACAGAGAAAAGCAGUACUAGACUUGAAACUAUAGAGUUUGAGGGUAGGCAGAUACAUAAAAUACUCCAUGUCUAAAUGUAGGUUAUUUUUUUCCCUUAUUUACAACUAAUACUGUGUAGGUGUAUAUAUGUGCUAACCUUCCUAAGCACCAUGCUGAGUCCUCACUUAAUCUUGUCCUCCGUUUGAGAGAUCCAGCAUUUGACAGAGGGUAAGCAAGGAUGUGCAGAAUGUGUAUUAACAUCUUCAGUGUAAUAUAUACCAAAUCUAUAAAAUACCAAAAACAGUAUGGUUAGGAGGAUGAGGGAAAGACCCUGAUGGGCUCUUGAUGAGGAGGAACCCGUGUACAUUUUGAUAUAUUACAUACAGUGGAGCUUUCAGGUGGUAUUUGCAUCUCUUCUGUAUGGAAAACAAAGAACUUCAGUCAUCUCCAUGGUGCUGUCAUACUGUGAGGAUAUUCUUCUAGGUUGACACCCUGCUUUAGAGAACCAGGGUUUCCAAAAGGAGCAAAAUUAGAGGUGUAACAAGCAGGUUUGUGCCCCCCUGUGGGCUGGGGCGAACGUAAGCGUGAUUCUGAGAGAGGAGUGCAGGAAUCUAACCUAUGCUUUGGGAAGUCCAAAACAGUCCCUGCCAGCUGCUGCUGCUACCACCAUCAAUGUAUUCUCUACUGCCCUGGCUUUACUCUUGAAGCUGCAGAAGCAGGGUAUCCUGCACCAUGUGCAGCAACUUCAAGAGCAAUGCCACAGGCGUGCAGGCUUCACAGGAUGAUUCCUGAAGUCAGUGGGAGUCAUUUAAUUGAUUGCUGUGGAUCAUAGAUCAUAAUCAUUAUUUUUUAGCUGCCAAUCUUCCCUUCUUAACUUGGUACCCAGAGCUGGUAUCCCUUUUGCCCAACCCUACUUAUACUACUGAGCAAAACAUCUUGUUCUAAGUAUUGCUUUCAAUGCUGUUAAAUUUGAUCAAUAUUGGAUUAAUUAAUAAUGUAGCAUAUACUAUUCUAUGAUGUGUAUAUACUUCGAGGCAAUGUGUCCUUUGAAAUCAGGCGGAGGUCCUACGUACUUCUCAACAGAUCUCUUAGUAAAAAUGUAUUGUGGAAAGGGACUUGUGCAGUCAAUGAGAACUUUUUUUUAAUAAUUAAUAUUUAUAAUGAAAUGAAUGGAAGAGUAGGUGGCUCAGAAGAUUGCUAAAAUUAUAUAGCAUCUUUCACUUUUAGAUGGUUUAUUCAAAUACAGUUCAAUAUUAUAGCAACCAAA